UCUGAUCUACACACAUUAUUAACCUCUUUAGCAUAACAUUAGCUAUCUUAUCUUUGUCCGGAUGAUUGUGUAGUUGGCAUUUGGAUUGUAGAUCAUAAGGUCAUAUACCUACCCGUUUGUAAACUGGACAUCGGCCUCCAAAGAUUUACAUAUUCUGAA
This is a long non-coding RNA of Sebastes umbrosus (honeycomb rockfish), 159 nucleotides long. RefSeq lists it as uncharacterized. The record is from RefSeq and is a predicted model, not a curated record. The transcript is spliced from 4 exons. Lineage: Eukaryota; Metazoa; Chordata; Actinopteri; Perciformes; Sebastidae.